GACGAACGCUGGCGGCGUGCCUAAUACAUGCAAGUUGAGCGCUGAAGGUUGGUACUUGUACCGACUGGAUGAGCAGCGAACGGGUGAGUAACGCGUGGGGAAUCUGCCUUUGAGCGGGGGACAACAUUUGGAAACGAAUGCUAAUACCGCAUAAAAACUUUAAACACAAGUUUUAAGUUUGAAAGAUGCAAUUGCAUCACUCAAAGAUGAUCCCGCGUUGUAUUAGCUAGUUGGUGAGGUAAAGGCUCACCAAGGCGAUGAUACAUAGCCGACCUGAGAGGGUGAGCGGCCACAUUGGGACGGAGACACGGCCCAAACUCCUACGGGAGGCAGCAGUAGGGAAUCUUCGGCAAUAGACGAAAGUCUGACCGAGCAACGCCGCGUGAGUGAAGAAGGUUGUCGGGUCGGAAAACUCUGUUGGUAGAGAAGAACGUUGGUGAGAGUGGAAAGCUCAUCAAGUGACGGUAACUACCCAGAAAGGGACGGCUAACUACGUG
RNAcentral lists this ribosomal RNA (497 nucleotides) under uncultured bacterium. RNAcentral describes it as "partial 16S ribosomal RNA". It matches the Rfam family "Bacterial small subunit ribosomal RNA", at positions 28 to 507 of the family's 1533-position model. The record is from RNAcentral.